AUAUCCUGCUGCUUCUGUGUGAGCUCACUGGUUUUAUCUGCAUGCAAUAGAUUGUAUACAGAAAUUGAAGAUUCUCCAUAAGUACAUGGAAUUUCACAAAACACUGUUGUGGAAGGAAGCUGUGUUAGAGGUAUGGAUCUGACAUUCCAUCUCCCCAGGAAGGGCAGGCAGAUCCUCCAUCUGAUGCACUAAGAAGAGACUGAGUCUAAAUUGUUAUUUUACUGAUUGCUUUAAUACAACAAACUCUAAAUUUGCAGAGGAAAUGGAUGUGCUUAACUUUGGCUGAAAGGAGUUUAAGUCCUGGCUCUUUAAGCAUGUCAGCUUUACUGGAGAGAUACAACCCUUCCGUGGUAAUUCACUUAGACAACCAAGCAAGGAAAGGUUUGCAUGUUUAACUCUACUCUAUACCUUAAAACACUACAUUAUAUGUAAAUCCAUUUCAUUAUCAAAGUAUACAUCCUCUUUUAAAGUAAGCUGAGUUCUUUAGGAGGAGGAAUUAUCAAAAAACAACAGCUCAGUCCUUUAACCAGGAGCCAAUCAUUCAAAAUCACUUUCUUUUGGUGAAAGGUAUAAAAGCCUACAACCUACAAUUUCUUACCCCUUUGCUACUAUCAACCUAAAGAAAUAGGAAACUACUGUCUCCUGUUGUAGAAUGCGGUUUUAAAACAUCUUUUCUUACCAACUGCUGUAGGACUUGAGCUGGAUACAGUGAUUAAUACUGUCACAGAAGUGAGCAGUUUCUGCUCUUAGUCCUGUCACCACUAGCAUCUAUUGACAAAAUCACUGUUUAAAGCUCUACUGCAUCACAGAGCAAGUACUGAUACUGGUUAUUUUACAACUAAUGCAACAUCCAGUAAGUCACGUGUAAUCUCACAGUUAAGAAUUCAAGACUAGAGUAAUAACUGCAGAAACCACAAGCAGGAAUUUCUCUGAUCUGGCAGGAAAUAAGGGGAAGGAUCGUUUAGAUAACAUAGUAGAGAUUGGGCAGGAACAAAGAAUUUAUUUCUUCAUCCAUUAUUUUAUACACUUUACAAAAACCAGGAAUCUCACUGUGCCCACGGCAACUGAAAGCAAACACUACUUUUUGUCAUCUAGCAGGGUCUUCUUAAAAUCAUAAUACAAAGAUUUGUGCUGUAGCAGUCCUCCACUUUGCACUGUAACAAUAAGGCUUACUGUACUUUAAAUACAAAGCUGUUACAUCUGCAGUUAUGAACCACUGGCUUUAACAAACAUCAUUUUAUAAUUGCUUUUUGCUUCCUUUUUGUUUUCUGGGACCGCAGCUUCAUCGUGUUUUUCAGCAGCUUGCAGUUCCUCUGCAGAUUCAUCUUGCUCUGAAUCAGAGCCACUUUCGGAGUCCUCUGAACUCUCAUGGUCAGAGGAAUGCCCAGCUGCCUCUUCUUCACCUUCCUGAAACUCACUGAAACCCAGUCCACAAUGGCGCCGGUUUCGUCCAGACAUCGUGCUGUCCAUGCUCUGCUGGUACUGAGACUCCAGUUCUUCAUUCAUUUUCUUGUCUUCUUCCCCUGUCCUGAAGUGAGAGGUUGAUCUGUGGUCUCCGAUAACAAGGCGGCCAGUAUGUUCUUUCUUCCCCGCGCCCAUCAGCCUCAGGAACUUCUGCUUCCUCUCCUCGUUGCCGAGGUCCGCUGCCUGCCAGCUGCCGGAGCCGUCGGGAGAGGCCGCUCGCUUGAGGCCGUGGCGAGCCUGCGACUCCCGGGCCGAGCUCAUGGCCGCGGCUGGGUGACCGGGCCGCUGCGCCGCCUUCCUGCCGGAGCCGCUCCCUCCGCCGGCGCCGGGUCACGGCCCCGGGGUCGAGCGCGAGGGACGCCGGGAUCGGUA
This 1836-nucleotide long non-coding RNA is filed under the name Gallus gallus (chicken). The record is from RNAcentral. Lineage: Eukaryota; Metazoa; Chordata; Aves; Galliformes; Phasianidae.